GCUAAACGCCUCCGGGAGGGGGCCACGAGCCGUAAAAGGUUGGGAACGACUGCUGUGAGGAGUAAUAAUAUGACGAAAUAACACCAUCUUUUUCAUAUCCCGGAAGACAGUUGCAGACAUAGGAUCCGGGUGUGUUUAAGCAAUAUGCGUUUCGUCCACAUAAGUGUUCUCCUGUGAAGCAUUCAUUGACAUCUGUAAAAAAUGAACUCAAUUGAUUCCGAUAACUUCGUCUGAGCCUUGUAUGGAAAUUCAUUGAAUGUGAUCGAUGUCAGCCUUAACGGUGUAUCUCUUUAAGAGUGUGCAGGAGUUUUCCGUGCAUAUGGUAUGUUAGGUUCAUCAGUGUAAUACAUUACACAGUGACGAAAAAAAAUAAAAUUUCAGUUGAUAUAUCUGUAUAUAUAUAUAAUAUUCUGGAAACUUGACAACGAGUAUUCACAAUUACUGUGUUGAAAUGUUGCUGAAUCUCUUGGAUGAUAUUCAAAAUAUAGGAAAAUUCAAGUGUAGUUGCCUAUUUGCAUUAAACUCGAGCUAAGCAAUAUACGACUCGUCGAAAUAUAUUUUAUACCUUUACUUCCAAUUUAAAUUCUUCUAAGAUAACAGGCAAAGAUACCCCCACACUAACCAAGUAGAUAAAU
Molecule: non-coding RNA, 635 nt
Organism: Styela clava
Lineage: Eukaryota; Metazoa; Chordata; Ascidiacea; Stolidobranchia; Styelidae
Source: RefSeq, a predicted model, not a curated record